Molecule: long non-coding RNA, 616 nt
Organism: Cynocephalus volans (Philippine flying lemur)
Lineage: Eukaryota; Metazoa; Chordata; Mammalia; Dermoptera; Cynocephalidae
Exons: 3
Source: RefSeq, a predicted model, not a curated record
GUCGAGGUCGAGUGGAAGUCCGCGGUGCGGCUUGUGCGCCAAGGUGGUAAUUGGGUCACAAGUUAUUGGUUUAACCAAAAUGCAGGAGAUUCAGAAUUUUGGUAGUGGUAGAUCGAGGUCGACUUUGAAAACCUUUAGAUUCGGACAUCAGAGCGGACUUACGUGUUCGGUAAGUCGCGGCACGGCCACGUGCAGCUCUGGAACCUGAGCCCCCGCGCAUGUGGGCCGUGAGCCAUCUGGGAAACGUUCGGUGUACCUGGGACUCCUGUGAAGACGGUCAUUAGUCCUGCUGUCGGUGCUAUGGACCAUCUUGAGUCUACUAUGUUUAGUGCCUUAGCACUCUAAAAAUGGCCAGUUUGAUCAGAUGGAAGGUGAACUCAUUGUACUGAUGGUUGAUGAAAAACAUCACAAGAUACCAAGAAAUCCAAAGUGAUAAUGAGUGAAGUCUUUAUGCAGCAUCCUGCAGUGGAUCAUGACAUGUUUAAAGCUUAGUUGGGUAAAUGGGUAUUUCACCUGUUCUGGAAACUAUCGGUGCACUAUGUUCAGUAUAGGCCUAAAUUUUUAAAUUAAUAUUUAAGGUGUUUCCUUGAUGUGAUUAAAUAAAGUGCUUCAUUGA